GCGCCUCUAGCUCAACUGGUCAGAGCAAGUGACUCUUAAUCACUAGGUUCAGGGUUCGAGUCCCUGGGGGCGUACCA
This 77-nucleotide transfer RNA is filed under the name Acidimicrobiia bacterium. RNAcentral's name for it is "tRNA-Lys". It matches the Rfam family "tRNA". Rfam says of the family: Transfer RNA (tRNA) molecules are approximately 80 nucleotides in length. Their secondary structure includes four short double-helical elements and three loops (D, anti-codon, and T loops). Further hydrogen bonds mediate the characteristic L-shaped molecular structure. tRNAs have two regions of fundamental functional importance: the anti-codon, which is responsible for specific mRNA codon recognition, and the 3' end, to which the tRNAs corresponding amino acid is attached (by aminoacyl-tRNA synthetases). tRNAs cope with the degeneracy of the genetic code in two manners: having more than one tRNA (with a specific anti-codon) for a particular amino acid; and 'wobble' base-pairing, i.e. permitting non-standard base-pairing at the 3rd anti-codon position. RNAcentral also lists the same sequence under 1 other name. The record is from RNAcentral. Lineage: Bacteria; Bacillati; Actinomycetota; Acidimicrobiia.